This 450-nucleotide ribosomal RNA is filed under the name uncultured bacterium. RNAcentral's name for it is "partial 16S ribosomal RNA". It matches the Rfam family "Bacterial small subunit ribosomal RNA", at positions 354 to 796 of the family's 1533-position model. The record is from RNAcentral.
GUGGGGAAUAUUGCGCAAUGGGCGAAAGCCUGACGCAGCGACGCCGCGUGAGGGAUGAAGGUUUUCGGAUCGUAAACCUCUGUCAGAAGGGAAGAAACUACGUUGUGCUAAUCAGCAGCGUACUGACGGUACCUUCAAAGGAAGCACCGGCUAACUCCGUGCCAGCAGCCGCGGUAAUACGGAGGGUGCAAUCGUUAAUCGGAAUUACUGGGCGUAAAGCGCACGUAGGCUGUAGUGUAAGUCAGGGGUGAAAUCCCACGGCUCAACCGUGGAACUGCCUUUGAUACUGCACAACUUGAAUCCGGGAGAGGGUGGCGGAAUUCCAGGUGUAGGAGUGAAAUCCGUAGAUAUCUGGAGGAACAUCAGUGGCGAAGGCGGCCACCUGGACCGGUAUUGACGCUGAGGUGCGAAAGCGUGGGGAGCAAACAGGAUUAGAAACCCCGGUAGUCC